UACGGGGGGGGCAAGCGUUGUUCGGAAUUACUGGGCGUAAAGGGUUUGUAGGUGGUCUGUUAAGUCAGACGUGAAAUCCCUCAGCUUAACCGGGGAACUGCGUCUGAUACUGGAUGGCUUGAGUUCGGGAGAGGGAUGCGGAAUUCCAGGUGUAGCGGUGAAAUGCGUAGAGAUCCGGAGGAACACCAGUGGCGAAGGCGACACGCUGGGCCGUACCUGACACUGAUGCGCGACAGCAUGGGGAGCAAACAGG
Molecule: ribosomal RNA, 253 nt
Filed under: uncultured bacterium
Lineage: Bacteria
Description: partial 16S ribosomal RNA
Rfam family: Bacterial small subunit ribosomal RNA
Source: RNAcentral